Long non-coding RNA from Homo sapiens (human), 1548 nucleotides. Ensembl annotates it as long intergenic non-protein coding RNA 869. The record is from Ensembl. NCBI's taxonomy places the organism in Eukaryota, Metazoa, Chordata, Mammalia, Primates, Hominidae.
CUAUGUAGAUGAGGCAGCGCAGGGGCUGCUGCUUCGCCACCUGCUGCUUCGCCACGAAAGAGUUCCCGUGCCGUGGGAGCAAGUCUGGGACCUCUGGUCGGAACGGAGAGUCGCAGCUGUGUGUUAGGGCUAGGAUGGCUCCGGGAUGCGCGUGAGGAUACAUGAUCCCUUAAUUCAGGCUCAGGCUGAAGAACUGACCCACUUACGACAGAAGAUACAGGAAGGGAGAGGUGUCUGCUACCUUUUCACCCAGCAUGUGAAGAACACAGUCAAGUCUUUUGAGGGCCUUCUCAGGAACACUGACAUUGCCUACUACCAGAGACAGAGAUUCUGUGAGCAAAUGGUACAAGGAAGCCAGCUGACAGAGAUCCUUGUCAGAAAACUUGCCACAGAAUCAACCCCAAUGCUCACUAACAAACUGAGAAGAAAAAAAAAGAAUUACCCCCAACAACAUCUGAGGAAGCACAACAGGGACAGACUUGAAGGCACCUGGGCAGUCCUCUGGUUUUGGAGUAGAGAAAAUCACAAUGGUAAGAAAAAUGAAGACAGGCAAAAGCCACUGGCUCCCAGGCACACUUUACUCCCAGUCAAAAGUGGACUGUAUACUUCCUCUUUGAUGUGAUGGUCCCUUUGGUUUUGGUGCCUCUUCCAUGAGCUUCAGAUCAGAACUAGCUAUGUGGUUCCAGGCUGCCUUGGUUUAAUCCCUUGUCUUGCCUACUUCACCUGGCUCAAGAGGGAAGUCCAGGAGGAAGAAAUGGAUGAAGUCCUGGAGGACUCACUAGAUGAACAGUAUUUGACUCAUUCCAGCUGCCAUGACUCCCACCAGCUUCCCAGCAGCAAUGCCUUCCUCUUUGAUGCACAGGAAGGCCCCUUGGCUGUGGAAAUAGCCAGAUGCACCUCUAACCUCUACAGGCAAAUCAUAGAUUCCAUUGUCCAGCUGUAUAAUGAAAACAGAGUUCUCAGAGAAGAAUACCGGAGACUCCCCCGACUUGCCUGAAUCAAAUUUCCAGAGCUAAACAAGCACUGGCCUUGAGAUAAGCAAUGCUGAAGCACUUGCAGCUCACCUAUUACCAUAAACUGACUGAGCCCUCCCUACACAAGCCGUAACUACUGCUUUGAUUGGACAAGAGACUGAUUUCAGUAGUUUUCUCUUGAUAAGAGACCACUGGCCGUGGGCGGGUUCUGGACAGUUUACAGAAGCUAUGCACUUGAUUGCCUUUGUGUCCCUGCUUCACCUUUUGAAGCAUAGGGCCUAAUUAUAAUGUAUUUAAAUGUUGUCUCCACCCCAAAGUGAACAUGGGUUGCAUGUAACAGGCAUGUUUACUCAGCAUGCAUGCAGCAGGAUCCCUUCACAAAUAUUCAGAGCUCCCCCUAUUCCCUGUUGAAUAUGUAUAUGUGGCCAGCCAGAUCAACGUAAAUCACUAUUCGCCCUCCCCUCCCUGGAAACCUACUUUUCGGGUUUCAGCAGGAAGCUAUGCCUCCCAGUCUGUCAGAAUGGCCACUUGCAGGCUGUAACCCUUUAUAAAAAAAUAAAAUCUCCUUUCUAAA